CAUUUGGUUAAGCUCAGCACGAGGAACUUCCGUUUUCUUAUCUUGAACAUCAUGUACUGUUCCAGCCCACAGCCAGCCACCCAGGAAGGAAGCAUUUUUUUCCUUUUAGACAGAGGGUCUGGCCAGCCAUAUGGCCACGUUGUUGAAAGGCUCUGUGAACAGAAAUUGUAGGAAAUUGCAAAGCAACCUCUGAUAAUGAACAUCUUGCCAGGAAAAUGUAUCUGAUCUCUGAGGAAAGGUGUUGGAAGAGAUGGGAGACGGCAGGAGGAUUGUCUCAAACACAAGUCUGAGUUCUUUUGACAGCAAUGUCUCCCUGUUUCUGAAAUAUAGAGAAUUCGACUGAAGAAGCGAGGAAGUUUUGGAGACAUAAUCAGAAAGAGAGAAAUGCAGACAAAGAAGUUGUUGAAACUAGCUCACUUCUCUUCAUGCUAUUUUCAGAAUUUUUCUUUACAUCUUGCACUAAAAACAACCCCGCGCAAAAGACAAACCUUUUCCAGAUGUUUUGGUGAAUUCACUUUUAUUCUCCAUGGGCAAUAAUAACCAGUUUUUGUUUAAGGCCUUAUGAUUUAAAAAGCAUGCACUACUAAUAUUUACAAUAAUAACAUUUUUGAUGUUUACAAGAAUCCCUUAAAAUUGCUGUUAUUUUUAUUUACUAUUAUCAUACUGACUUUUUCAAAUAAGACAAUUGAAAUUCAGUCUCUUUUUAAUCAUCCAAGUAAUAAGCAGUGGAAGAGGCACUUUAAAAUACAAAUUAUUAAACUCUGAAUUCUCUGCCUUUCUUCCUCCUUUUGCAUGACAAUAGGGUAAAAUGAGACUAGCAUGUUUUAAUAAAUAAAUUUUUAUUUGCUUUUUUGAGUAAGAGCUUGGAGAAAUCUAAUAUGUCAUUUUGUGUACUCUUAAAAAUCCUUUGCUUGAAGAAUCUAAUGACUUUUAUGUCUAUGGAUUUAUAUAUUAUUUGCACCAUUUUGAAAUAUUUAGGAAAGGAGAGAAUAUAAUUAUUUGCCAUGAAAAUAAACUAACACUAUCAGGACAGGAGUCGAUGCCAACCAAAGCAUCCUAUUGCCCCAUACGCUGUUGCUGGCAUUGAUGAAAGUUGAGGAUUGGAAGAAGCAGAAUCAGCCAGCCUCGUGUAGAUUUCAACUGGAAUCUGGGCUGUUCCUCUAGGGUGCACCAGGGGCCUUCCUCCUCCCCUCACUUUCUUCCAUUCCCCACUCAGCAGUUUCAGAGGUUGACAAGAAUUCAGCUCAGUCAGGCAAAUGUUGGUUUAUAACACGAACACUGACCAUCUUACAAUGAGAGAGGGGAAGCAAAGAGAGAUUGCCAGACAUCUACAGUAAAUCAAAAGACGAUGUCGGGAUCUUUCCAUGAUGCCAAGUGCUUGCUACUGAUGGGUUUUUCUCCUGAAGUAACUUUUAGCUACAUUUACAGAUUUUCAGAGGAAAGAACCCCUGUAGCCAUGUUUUCCCCCAAAGAUCAGGCUCCCUUUCCACCUCAGAAUGGCUUCUCACAAAUACAGUAGUUCUUCAACAACAGAUGGGUCUAAGUUGAAAGAGACCUUGUCAUUGAUCCAGUGGCAUGAGGACUUCUUCAAGUGUACAUGUGGAUCUGAUGGUCACGGAGGGACCACACGACAUUGAUGCAGUUCCUCUUAAUGGGCCAGCUCUUCAUCAGCCCUGAUGUUCAGGCACCCAUGUUUAAGAUGCAGCCCCCCAGCAAGACCAGCAUGAGUGCCACAGAGCUUUGUGGAGACUCGCCAACAUAAUAGGCCAGUAUUUGGGAGAUUAUGUGAUUUCAGUUUCAUACCAUCUGUCCCCAGAUUUCCUUCACUACCAGGCUGGCCACUGGCUUUGGAGGACAGUCAAAAUCCAGGGCUCUGGAAUACUCUUUAUGGAGUUCAAAGGAGCAGGCGUCCCUGUGAACUCCAACGCUGGUUGUUGCCAUGGGGAAGUGUACCGAGAUUGUUGGCUUCCAGCAAGAUAUGUACUUGAAAGUCCUAAUGAAAGCAUGUUAAGCCCUCGGAAGCUGGCUAUGUGUCUGAGAGCCUGGCCAAGAGAUGUCAGAUCGCUCCACGGGCAAGAGAGAACAUAAGCAACUGAGAAAAAGGGAGGAAGAGACAUGCUGACGUUCUUCUCAACAGGAACAUUCUUUCUUCUUGGGAGUCCAUCAGCCUCAUCAUUUAUUAUCAGACUGUAACCACCCUUCAUCCUCUUUCUCCAACAGGAUCUCAUCAUUCCAAUAAGAACCUAAAUCAUAAAGUAAAAACAAGAAAAAUACGGCUUUUUGUUUUUGGCUAGAAGGCAAUCUGAUUGAUGCAGUAAAGGUCUGGAAGCCCUAAAAUGUUGGGUCAAUUCCUAACUCCGACACAAAGAAGCUAAACAACCUGCAAGAUAAUAUGUAAAAAAAAUCAACCACAAUGUUUCCAUCUGCAAAACAGAGUAGGGGUGCCACUGGGAAGUAUUUCAAAAACCUUGUGUUCCUCAUGCUAAUUAUUCACCAGUUGGCUUUCCAGGUCAUGCCUCUUGACAUCAGUAGCUUGAUUGCCAACGGGAUGAUGAUACUGGUUUCACUUUUAAAUAUGGGUUUCAAAAGUAUCAGUUUUCACAGUCGUCAGAGAAACAGAAUAUUGGAUGUGGGAAAAAAGCCUCAGGCAGAAAUCCAGAUGUCAGUCUCCCUCAUUUCACAAUGAGGAAGCCGAGGCCCAGAGUGGUGAGUGACCUGUCCAAGGCCACAGUCAGAGUUAGAGCUGUGCCAGGCCCAGGACGCGGGGCUUUCCUUUUGAUCAACAUCACAUUUCCUAAACCAGCUUGCUUCUUAUAUGCCUGCUUUCCAUGAUGAUUUCUGGGGAAAGGAUUUCUCAUAACAUGGAUUUUUCAUGGCUCUAGAUGGGUGAUUUGGGGCAACGUAGAAGGGCGCCUUUUGAUCUAGCUGCUUCCGCAUCAAGUACAACACUCCUUCCUCGAUGGAAGAAUGGUCGGCCUCUCCUAUCAGUCGCUGAAGUCUUAGAAGACAUGAAAAUAAACAAAACCUGACAAUUCUGUUCCCUGUGUUAUGACCUGUUCACCUCCCCUGCCACUUCCAACUUGACUUCUCCCUGAGUAGCCCCCACGUUAUUUAAGUCAGCAGGGCUUUCAGAAGUCAGGCAGUGCUGAGGCUGCCAGAAGGAAUACUUGCGUGGCAGGCGCAUGUGGGUCUGAGCUCUUUAGACUCUGGGUCAUGACUGGCAUAGAAGGGGUUCCUGCUGCUCUUCAAAUCGCUUUUGGUCUUGAAACUUCCUUCCAAUGGUUCCCUCCCUUAUGUUUAACCACUUCAUGCCAUGGAAUCACCGAAGGUCUCACUCUGACAAAUAAUAUUUUUUGAAGCACUCAGGAGUCUACUUUAUUCUGGAAUGUUCCAACAGGCAGCUUUAACAAAAAUAUGGGUAACUUCUUGAAAAAAGAGUAAGCUCAACUUAAAGUUGACUGCGAAUGACGAUAGCAAUCUGACCUUCGAUUCAUUAAAAAAUACCCAUAUGUUCACAGAAGGUUGUUUCAUAACAGCUGCAAAGUGGAAGUGACCCAAAUGAAUGUCUAUCGGUGGAUGCCUGGAACUUUUCCAACCAGCAGUGGGCCCUUAGCAGGGGAGACUGGAAACAGGUUUGAAUAAUGCAUUCAAGAUCCUUUAUGCACUGAAAGAAGAAAGUAGAACCAUUUCUGGGCCCCAGAUGUGGGAAGAGCUCCUGUUGCUGUGGAUUCUGACUUCUGGGUCUUGGAGCAGGAGGUGGCCAGCAAGCUAAGCUGUCCUGAGGGUGUGCCGGGCCAGGGGCUGAAGACAACGUUGGAGCAUCCACAGACUGGUUUGUCUCAAGAAACAUGUUACUAAAUAUGAAAUGGCAAAAUCUGCCAAGUGGGUUUACUUUUCCCCCAUAGAUUAGAAUGGAUUCAAUAUUAUCUCUUUAUUAGAUUCACUUUUAAUCACUUGCAUAGCAAGUAAGACAGAAGGGUGGUUUGAAAGUCAAUCAUGUGAGAAUUCCAGAUAAAUUGACUUUGCUCGCAACAAUCUGUUAUUCAUGUGACUAUCAACUGUCAUGUGUGCUGGGACAAAAAAGAAGAUUAAGGUUCACUGGUCUCAGACAGUUCCAGGAGAGGAAACCCAGGAUUGAACUUUUUCAGCCUUCUUUGGUAAAACGUGCUGCUCUGUGGGUGUGUCAAAGCUUUUUUCAGUUUCCUAAACUCCUGUAUUCAAGAAGAGAAGCUAUUUUCUCUUCUUUAUCAUCCUUCCUUGACAAAGCAAAACGUAUUUUCAUUGUCUGCUCUGUAUCAUCCAGGCUUGGUUCCUGUCUUCAAAGAGCAUAUAGUUCAAACAAAGGAGAGGGAGCAUUUUACAAGGGAAUUAAAGAUGAAAGACUCUGAAAGCCAGUUUAAAAAGUCGAGAGGGAGGGGUCUGGGAGAAGCUGAGCAGGGGUGAAAGGGUACAAAACAUUAUGGAAGGAGAACAGGGGAACACCUUGACUACUGGGUAGAAAUACCAAUCAGUGUGUAGAAACCACCACAGUGGUAACACGGAUCAGUGGGUGGAAACCAAUGACAGCAGGUGUGUGAGGCAUGGAACACUUGGCUUAUUGUAAAGUUUUCAAAAUAUGUGGUCCUUUCUAUCCACCAGGGGAUGGGAGUUGUCUCUGUAUAUCAACCACAGAAGGGCUGUUUCGGUUCAUCAUUCUGUGGUCUACCUGGGUAGACCUGAUGCGGCCGUGUUUCCGGGGAAAGGAAGAACAGCUUUUGUUUUGUGAUAUUUAAUGGUAGAUGUAGUGCCAUGGAAUGAUGCAGAUUUCAUUCAGAUAUUCUUGGAUCUUGGCCUCAGGACUCACUCAUUCUUCCUUAUAUGAGCAUUGGUAGUUAUAGGUUUUACCCUUCCUUUAAUUUUAAGUCCUUUGAAUGCAAAAACUGUAUCCAAUUUGUCACUGUCUCCCAACAGUACUUAACAGUGUCUGAUGCAUCAUAGGGAGUUUGUAAACGUUUGGAUGAAUAAAGGGAAAACAAAAACAACAAAAAUAACCUUUAUUUUGCUUUAAUAAAAAUAUUUUAACUAGUUUCCA
Molecule: long non-coding RNA, 5071 nt
Organism: Macaca mulatta (Rhesus monkey)
Lineage: Eukaryota; Metazoa; Chordata; Mammalia; Primates; Cercopithecidae
Source: RefSeq, a predicted model, not a curated record